CACUGCAAAGGAGGUCAAGGAGAUUCUGGGGGCAACCUGCGAGCAACCUCUAGACCAGCCAGCAGGGACCUCUGACAAUGCCGCUGCCGGUGUCGACGCUGGCAGCCAUGGCCGGCGCCGAGCUGACGAGUUCCAACCUGGAAGCUCAGCGCGAGGGGCUGGCAUUUGUUGCCGGCUUCGUGGCAUACAAGUGUCACCACAUCGACGCCACCCUCGGUAGCCGGUCUCCUGACUUCUCGGGCGCCGCUGGAGACACUGAACACCCUGCCGAACAGCUGAAUUGUGACGAUCAGCCGAGGCCAGCUGUUUGUUCUGUCACAAGCCUGGAUGGCCGCUGUGGAGGAGUUCGAGCGGAACUUCUGCCUGCUGAUGGGGGCAACUGCAGAUCAGGGGCCGCGAGUCAUAUAGCGUCUCAAGCUGUUCAUCGCCGUCAAGCAGCCUCAGCUCGGCACCCGCGUGUCCAGGAAGUUGGCGAGCACCCGUCUCCACCUCCCCCUUCGGUCCCUUAGCCUGACUGGACGAGGUCCGGCAGCUGAAAAGAGCCGAUAGAAAAGUUGGCCAUCAUGCAAGGAGCUCUAGGUGAGCUGGUAAACCGGCUCGUGUAGCGACUACGAGUCGGCGUGGUGCUGUGUGACUCGGUGUGGUGCGGCCGGCUCUGUGUUGGUGCUGUGCGACUCGGCAUGGUGCCUCCGGCUGUGUGUACCGGCUGUGCGACUCGGUGUGGUACGGCCGGCUUUGUGUGGGUGCUGCGCGACUCGGCAAUUGGUGCCUCCGGCUGUGUGUAACGGCUGUGCGACUCGGUGUGGUACGGCCAGAUCUGUUGGUGCUGUGCAACUCGGCGUGGUGCCUCCGGCUGUGUGUAACGGCUGUGCGACUCGGUGUGGCACGGCCAGAUCUGUUGGUGCUGUGCAACUCGGCGUGGUGCCUCCGGCUGUGUGUAACGGCUGUGCGACUCGGUGUGGCACGGCCAGAUCUGUUGGUGCUGUGUGACUCGGCAUGGUGC
Molecule: long non-coding RNA, 1003 nt
Organism: Amphibalanus amphitrite
Lineage: Eukaryota; Metazoa; Arthropoda; Thecostraca; Balanomorpha; Balanidae
Exons: 2
Source: RefSeq, a predicted model, not a curated record